RNAcentral lists this small RNA (664 nucleotides) under Pan troglodytes (chimpanzee). RNAcentral's name for it is "retained intron". Lineage: Eukaryota; Metazoa; Chordata; Mammalia; Primates; Hominidae. The record is from RNAcentral.
ACUCCCCGCUGAGCCCAGUAGGCCACCAGGUGUGAAGUGGGCGCCUCUCCUGGCUCUGCCUCCGACUCUGGGGCCCCUCAUGCCACCCCACGCGUGCCGACCAGCUGGGCACUGUUGGCAGCGCCGCGUGCUGACCCUGGUGCCUGCCCAUAGACCAUGAACGAGUUUGAGUACCUGAAGCUGCUGGGCAAGGGCACUUUUGGCAAGGUGAUCCUGGUGAAGGAGAAGGCCACAGGCCGCUACUACGCCAUGAAGAUCCUCAAGAAGGAAGUCAUCGUGGCCAAGGUGGGGCCGGGGCAGUGGGGCAGGGUGGAGAUGAGGGUGCGGGGCGGCAGCUCACCCAGCCCUGCUUUACAGGACGAGGUGGCCCACACACUCACCGAGAACCGCGUCCUGCAGAACUCCAGGCACCCCUUCCUCACAGUGAGUGGGAGCCCAGAUGGGGCUGAAGGGCUGGGGCCAGGUAGCGACUCCUGGGGCUGUCUCUAGGGGACGAUGUCCUGUCUUCUUGGGCACGUGAGGGCUUUACACACCGCGGACUCCGCCGCUGGUGAGACAGGCCUGCCCUGGAGGGUCAGGCUGUGGAGGUGCCCAGUGUGGGCUAGGGGCUGUGCUCGCUGCUCCUGUGUGCGGGCAGGUGGGUGCGGCAGGUGGCCCUGGUCUU